GACGAACGCUGGCGGCGUGCUUAACACAUGCAAGUCGAACGGAAAGGCCCUGCUUGCAGGGUACUCGAGUGGCGAACGGGUGAGUAACACGUGGGUGAUCUGCCCUGCACUUCGGGAUAAGCCUGGGAAACUGGGUCUAAUACCGGAUAGGAGCCAUUUUUAGUGUGAUGGUUGGAAAGUUUUUUCGGUGUAGGAUGAGCUCGCGGCCUAUCAGCUUGUUGGUGGGGUAAUGGCCUACCAAGGCGGCGACGGGUAGGCGGCCUGAGAGGGUGGACGGCCACAUUGGGACUGAGAUACGGCCCAGACUCCUACGGGAGGCAGCAGUGGGGAAUAUUGCACAAUGGGCGCAAGCCUGAUGCAGCGACGCCGCGUGGGGGAUGACGGCCUUCGGGUUGAAAACUCCUUUCGCUAGGGACGAAGCUUUUUGUGACGGUACCUAGAUAAGAAGCACCGGCUAACUACGUG
Molecule: ribosomal RNA, 465 nt
Filed under: uncultured bacterium
Lineage: Bacteria
Description: partial 16S ribosomal RNA
Rfam family: Bacterial small subunit ribosomal RNA
Source: RNAcentral